AUCAGAAGAGAGUUAUAGACGUCCAUCAUAUUUUAGGCUUUGUUACUGAAUUGGGUGCAAAUAAAUAGGGAAAGUCCGCUGAUCUCUUCCUAAAAGGCUAAAACCUAGCAUCUAAUCAAUAGGAUUAGGCUUUAUUGAUUAGCCUGUUCAGUCACCAGGAUUUUAGGCUUAUUAAUUAGCCUACUUAUUUAAAUAACUGAAAAAUUGGAAGUUCCGAAGUAGAAGACAUCUAAACCUAACCAAAGACAGCAAAAGGGUUCACUGUUUGCUGUUUGCCUAUUCGUUGGUUGAUAUGUGUGGGUCCCUCUUCAGCCUCGUAAGACUUUUUGCGUUCUUUUAUAUUAUCAACUAUAAGAGUUGCAGUAGGCUGUACCUGCUAGAAAUUCCAGUUGUGCAAUUUUAUGCUGGAGCUUACCUUCUUUAUGUUAUUUUAGAAGAGCUUGUCUGAGAUUUUUCUUCGAUAUCAUGAAUUUCUCUGAAAAUAUUAAACAAUUUACUUGUGAGCUGCAGGCUGAUCUGUUUCUAGCUCCACAGCUUGAUGGAGCGAUCAAAAGGUUCAACGUGGAUAUGGGCCCAUUUCCUAUUCUAGCAAAGUUGCAUGAUGCGUACAGUGAGCUACAGGCAUUUCAAGAUGCAGCACCAGAAAAUCAGCCAGAUUCUCCUCCCUCCACUAGUUAAACCAGUGAGUGACGAUGCAUUUAGCAGCUCAAGCCAUAGGCAUUUUAUGGGACAUCCUAAUUAUUAUAUGCACAUCAUCCCUUAUUCUCUUUUAUUACUACUGUUGCUAUUAUUAGGAAAAUUAUCCAAUUUAGUUUUUGAAUGUUGGUCAAUGUUACAAUUUAGUAUCAAAAAUUUUUUUCAUUAUAAUCCCCGAAUUUUUAAAUUUGUUUCGUAAGCACUGACUUUGUUGAACUUUAAAUAGAAAAAACAUAAACACUUUAUUCUUGUUUGGGAACACAAAAUUAAAGGGAAAGACUUGGGGCCAUGGCCAAGAGGAGAGUGACAGUGAGACAGGGAAAGGAAGACAAUCUUGCAAUUCUUCUGCAAAUAUCUAAACUGGGGGUGUUUUGGUUGAUUAUGCUUAGCAGCCUUGUGGGAGUUCCUCUUGCAAUUCUUCUGCAAAAUAUUUAAACUGGGGGUGUUUUGGUUGAUAUGCUUAGCAGCCUUGGGGGAGUUCCUCUUGUUCUCGUCCUGCUUGUUCUCGAAGAACUCCUCCUCUCAUGGUCGUGAAUAACCCAAGCUUUCACGACCUCUCUCCUGAACCUGUCCAACAGUCUCUACUCCAAUUUGUGGUCCCAUAAUCACCUGUACAUUGUACAUCAAUCUGAAAAAAGGGUGUUUGUGUAUGUGAGAAAUGGGCAUAUACAGAUGGCAGUUUGCAGACAGAGACGAAGGUGACGAAGAAUCUUGGCGUGCCAUUGAAACCAAUCCCUUUUUGGGCUUUUGGGCCUGUGAAGAUGAUGGGAGAGAGAUAGGAAGAUGGAAGUUUCGGCUGUGAGGGAGGUGGGUUUGAGAGGAAAA
Carica papaya (papaya) is the source of this 1521-nucleotide non-coding RNA. The record is from RefSeq and is a predicted model, not a curated record. NCBI's taxonomy places the organism in Eukaryota, Viridiplantae, Streptophyta, Magnoliopsida, Brassicales, Caricaceae.